This 319-nucleotide ribosomal RNA is filed under the name uncultured soil bacterium. Its description in RNAcentral is "bacterial SSU rRNA". It matches the Rfam family "Bacterial small subunit ribosomal RNA", at positions 27 to 321 of the family's 1533-position model. The record is from RNAcentral.
GGACGAACGUUGGCGGCGUGCCUUACACAUGCAAGUCGUACGCGAAAGGGGAAUCCAGCUUGCUGGGGACCCCCGGUAGAGUGGCGAACGGGAGCGUAACACGUGAGGAACCUGCCUCGGAGUGGGGAAUAACCCAGAGAAAUCUGAGCUAAUUCCGCAUGCUGCAGCAGCCCCGCAUGGGGCAGCUGUGAAAGACCGCCUCUGCUUGCAAGCGGUCGCUUCGAGAUGGUCUCGCGGCCUAUCAGCUAGUUGGCGGGGUAAUGGCCCACAAGGCGACGACGGGUAGCCGGCUGAGAGGGUGUCCGGCUCAUUGGGACUG